AUUGAACGCUGGCGGCAGGCCUAACACAUGCAAGUCGAACGAGUGGCGGACGGGUGAGUAAUGUCUGGGAAACUGCCUGAUGGAGGGGGAUAACUACUGGAAACGGUAGCUAAUACCGCAUACCAUCAGAUGUGCCCAGGUGGGAUUAGCUUGUUGGUGGGGUAACGGCUCACCAAGGCGACGAUCCCUAGCUGGUCUGAGAGGAUGACCAGCCACACUGGAACUGAGACACGGUCCAGACUCCUACGGGAGGCAGCAGUGGGGAAUAUUGCACAAUGGGCGAAAGCCUGAUGCAGCCAUGCCGCGUGUGUGAAGAAGGCCUUCGGGUUGUAAAGCACUUUCAGCUGGGAGGCGUUACCAACAGAAGAAGCACCGGCUAACUCCGUGCCAGCAGCCGCGGUAAUAC
RNAcentral lists this ribosomal RNA (406 nucleotides) under uncultured bacterium. RNAcentral describes it as "partial 16S ribosomal RNA". It matches the Rfam family "Bacterial small subunit ribosomal RNA", at positions 30 to 526 of the family's 1533-position model. The record is from RNAcentral.